Long non-coding RNA from Phragmites australis (common reed), 5012 nucleotides. RefSeq lists it as uncharacterized. The transcript is spliced from 3 exons. NCBI's taxonomy places the organism in Eukaryota, Viridiplantae, Streptophyta, Magnoliopsida, Poales, Poaceae. The record is from RefSeq and is a predicted model, not a curated record.
UUCAAACCGGAAACGCCUAAUGCGCGGUUCGGGCAAAAUUUCCCAAAACCAACUCAGAAACAAACGCGGAGAACGCACAACGCUAGGUUUUCAAUUUUCAAAUCUACCAUCACUAUAGGCACCGGGAUGGAAGCGGCGGGCGGCGACGCCUCGAAUCCUCUGAUCUGGGUCCGGAGACGAAGGAAUCACCGCCGGCACGAAUGAGGCCAACCGGCAUCCAGCAGGCCUCUCCGCCACGGUGGACGAACCUAGUGAUGGAGGGCAAGCGAAGUGGGCUGCGGAGAAAUGCGGGCUCCAGGUCCGAGACGAGCCGCUUUGGAGGAGAAGCGUUCGCUUUCGCUCUGGUCUCUCGCGACUGUAAAGCGUAAUCGUUUCGAAUUGUCUUUGCAGUUUGCUUCAUGUUGUUAGAUUGUGUUUGCGCUCGCAAAAUUAGGUGUUCUAAUACUAUGCGUCUAGCACGUUGGUCCGUCGCUUGAGUUGCUUGAGGUUCUAGCCUCGACGUCUAGUGCACAGGUCUCGAGUUGUUUGUGUUGGAUACAAUCCUUGCCAUAUUGUGUAGCAGUACUAAAAUUAGUGGCUAUUGUGAAUCUGAACAUUGGCGUGCAGGUUGACCAUUUCUGGUAGCAACAAACACAAUAAGUAAUAGUCCCGGUUUGCACUUGUAUUGCACUUUUAAUGGUUAUAUGAAAGCCAAUGCCAAAUUACAGAUGUAUUAUCUAGCAUGCAUAAUUGCAUAUACUAUAUCACUAUGAUGGAAUUAUCUACAGGGAACUGCUCUUUAAUAUCUAUUAUCUUGAAAUAACUCAUUAGUAUGUUUACCUGGUUUAAUUUAUAUUUUGAGACCAUUGAUCAUUUGUUGGCUAAUGGCUAUCAAUCUAUCGCUAAUGAUGUUCUAUAGUAUCCAACUUUUCAAUCAAAAAAAUUGGUUCAUAUGUGAGCAAGUAUGUUAUUUGAGGCAACGAGCAUCAAUGAAGUUCCGUAUGGGUGCUAGGAUUUCUAGAUUGACACCGCAAAGAGCAAACUGCUGAGUGCUGAUGUUGUGUACUAUUUCUUGUCAUCUUCGAUGCCAUGAAUAUUGAGCAUAGGACAUGUUCCUCUUCUCUUUUUCUACUCUUAGGAUUUCAUUCUUUAUCGAUUUAUGUGUAUCAUGUCAAGCAUUUCAGACUAUAUUAGAGCUUGUACACAAAUUCUCCUGCUCAUUGGAAUCCCUUCGUGAGGCUUAAGUAAGGAAAAGAAAUCUGGUCAGAGUUCAGCAAACGGCCAUCCUUGUCAGACAUCGAAAUAAUAACGAAGAUGGCUGAGAUGAAGAUUGGGAUGAUUAUAUUGAGCAAAACGGAAAAUUCCCAUUGUUUGUUACGCGAUCAGAGAUAUUUGAGCCAUCCGUUUCAAUACUGCACUGUACAGUUUGUUUAGAUUAAUGAUGACAACAAGGACACAUUUGCUUGGCAAUAUAAGAUGAUAUGCUGGUGGAGUCUGUAGGCUGCGGCUGCCCUUAUCAUGUGAUUGCAAGGUUCUUCAUGCUAUCUUCGAGGCUUCACCAAAACAGGCCCUACCACACUGCCAUUGUAAGUACCCUUUGUAUGUUUCUAGUACAAGCAGAUCUCUAAUGUGAUACUGAUUAGUUUGUAUCUUACUGAACCUGGUUGAUACACCAUAAAUACUAGUUUGUUCCAUGCUGAACUGGCUUGUCCAGGAAAUCAUUCUGAAAUUCUACACGCAAAACCAAGCAAAUCUCUUAUCUGAGCCUUGAACCUUUUUUACCGUGUUAAUCGAGAUAUCACAGAAUUGAACUCACUACUGUUAUUUUUGGUUACUGGGUUAGUUUGCCAAUGGAACCUACUUUUAUUAUUCUCUGUUAUAGAUGUGUUCCCCGAUCCAUAUGCGCUUGUAAAGCUUGCAGGAGUCUACAUAUAUGAUAUUGUCACUUGGGAGGUUAGGGAAGCAGUUCUGCUUCCCAAUCUGUAGGUCAGCACAGCCCACUGGUCCACACAUUCCUUUUCCCCUUUUCCUUUAUGUCUCUUUGCCCUUUGCAUGAUGCCUACCCCUGCUGUCCUUAUGUCCUUGCAUUUUAAUUGUCAUAAUCCCAAAUUCACAUUCUAUGUUCUUGGUCAUUGACUCGUUGUCUCAUACCGAAGUUUUAUGAAUUUAUACAUUCACGCAAAGGGAUUUGUGGUGCAAUUCACAGUACAAUUAUUUCUUUAGCCGAUAUUUGCAAUUGCAUUUUCCACUCAUUUUAAGAAAUUAGAUAUUUCUAUGGUUCUGUGCAUUUUUUUUUAGUAUUAAGAACUAUCGUACUUGAAAUUGGGUUCAGUUUUGUAUGGUCUGCUGUGUUCUUGAACUUUUAGAUCUUCAUUGUCUGGCCACCACGUCCUUUAGGCGUGGUGUCUGGUGGGUACACAAGUGUUGAUCUCCUUUCAUGAUGUCUGCCCUUCUGCAGACUUCACUUGAUAUGAGCUGUUUGCAACAAUAAUUUUCUGUGCAUCGAUUGCACUAAGACACAUAUAAACUGUUCCUGACCAUAUCUAUUUCCUUUGAUAUUUUCAAAUCAUUAGUGCUACAGCAUUUUACCAACUACUAGAACAUUUUGAGAAUCUGAGAUAAGAUUUGGUUAAGGCCAUGGUCCUGUCUGUAUUAUACUAUAUAGUAGGUAGUCUUCUUGUGACUAGCAUAUUCUUUCUUGUAUUAAAGAAUAAGAUUAGGAUGUACAGUUAGCAAUGCAAUUAUUCUACAUGCUCAAUUGACGUUUGGCUUGUAGUUCACUAGCCACUAGCUUGCUACCUUGCUUGAAGUUGGUUCACAAUAGUCAAGUAUACUCUCCAACAUAAAUUCUUAUAAGCAUGAUCUGGAAAGCUGCUUGCAUUUCCUAACAUUUAGAUGUUUCUGUAUCCUGUUUUCUGCCCCUCUUUGGAGAGGCUUCUGGUUAAAAUUACUUCACUGAUGAUGUUACUUUGCUGGAGAAAGAAGAUGCUAAAGGUGCAGUCUCUCACAAUGCUCGUGUAUUUUGAUUUGCUUUUGUUCCUGACCAAAUCAUGUUAAUAAUGGCAGGAACGGUUAGGCUUUUUCCUAUCUAAGCUAACAGAAAUCGUUGUGUUCUACUUUUGUAUGCUGUGUAGAGGAACUUUGGGGCAGGCAAACCAUGUGCCUAGAAUGGGAAUUUUACAAUUAAAGUUCAAGUGGUAGAAAGCAAAUAAAAAAAAUUAAACAACAGGACCAGAUAAUAGAUCCUUUUCCUUUUAUUUUGUCUAGAUUCUUUUCUUUGCACAGUUCAGAUUCUUACAACUAUGCAUAAUAAUCUGUUAUUGUUCUUCCAGCCUUGGCUUUAAAACUUAUUGUUGCUUGUCCCCUCUGUCACUUGCUUACCCUUUUUUUUUCCGGAUAUUACCUGAUCACUCUUAUAAAAACAAGUCAAAUACAAGUUUAUUUGUGUGCAAUGUAAUACAUUUUUAAAUAAAAGUGCAAACUCUUCAGAUCUUCCUUCAUACCUUAGAUUGAAUUAUUUGUGAAAAUAAAGGCAGCUGAUCACAGUUUCUUCUAUGACCACAUUUUCUGAAAGAAUUGACUGGGUUUUCCAUAUUUGAGCAAACACUAUCAGUCACCUAACAAAGUGACCAAACAAAUCUGCGCAUGCCACCUCUCCACAGUGCACACAAAGUAGCUACAGACUACAAUUAAUGUUCUGUAAAGUCAAUUAGUAGAAAAUCUGCUGGCAACAAUACCAUAGUUUAAAUCAAGGUUGCAGAACAUGCUAAUGAAUGAUUCUUUGUGAAAAGCUGCAGGCACCUGCAUGUGGGUGUGGAUCAGAAGGUAACUUGUGCAGAAAGACUGAGAUUGCAUUAUGAGAGAGAGAGAGAGAGAGAGAGAGAGAGAGAGAGAGAGAGAGAGGUAACACAGGCAGCCUGUGGGGGGACACCAUCAGCGAGCCUCCAUGAUUCUCCUCACCACAAAGCAUUGCGGUUUGCUCUCCUGCCCCUCUUAUUAUAUCCUGCCUUUCUCCUAUACUACAAUGUAUCUUAAAUUCUUAAGCCAUUGCAUGAUCAUUUAAACAUUAAGGCUUAUAUAUAAUCAUUUUAUAAAUAUGAACACCCGUCUCGAGUCUGUUACUCAAACUCAGGUGGACAAUUUCCACCCUGGGCUAUAUUACAAGUUGAAUGUCAAUUAACUAUCAUUGGCUAAAGCCCUUCGUUUACUUAUAUUUACUAUAGAAAAUCUACAAGGCCAUGGGGAAUCUGAUCUCACUUGCGUAUAUUUAAAUUGCGAUUAUACUAACUGUGUCUCUGCUCACUGAAAACAUAUGGCGGUAAAAUUUUAAUUUUCAAACAGUUGUCCAUUGCUCACCAACCGGGCCGAGGCGUGCGUAACUGGGCAUACCUGUCCCCGUGCUGCUGUGCCACUCCUCCUAUGCUGCGCCAGAUCGCAAUAAGUUCGCAUUAAAUGCUCCUGCUCCGAUCAAAAGCGGACAGCUUAAAUGAAAGUUGUUGUGACGCAUUGAAUACAAGCAACCUUCAGAUACUGCAGACAUGCGUAGGCAACGAAUCAGAAACUUUGGCAUAGCUUCUGGCCGUAUUUUAGAUUCCCAAAUAUGGUUUUUUUUUCUUGGUCACCAAGAUUCUUCAAUUCUUCGCGCAGGUAAAUUCCCUAGGCUAGGAAUCAGAAACUUUCGCAUAGCUUCUUGCCGUAUUUUGGAUUCCCAAAUAUGGUUUUUUUUUUCUUGGUCACCAAAAUUCUUCAAUUCUUCGCGCUGGUAGAUUCCCUAGGCUAGGAAUCAGAAACAUUCGCAGCUUCUGGCCGAAUUUUGGAUUCCCAAAUAUGGUUUUUUUCUUGGUCACAAAUUAUUCGCAUCCACAUAAAUUCACUCUAAUGUCCUGUUUGACAGGGCAGUUCCAACUCCACUAACAGUUUUUUAGUUCCAAUUCCACGACAGAUCUUGAUUUUUUAGGUUAAAAUAAAUGAUUUAACUUUUCGCUUUUAGACUAAAAUAAAAACAAAAUGACUUAUACAAACACUCUUGUUGU